Molecule: ribosomal RNA, 442 nt
Filed under: uncultured bacterium
Lineage: Bacteria
Description: partial 16S ribosomal RNA
Rfam family: Bacterial small subunit ribosomal RNA
Source: RNAcentral
CCUACGGGUGGCAGCAGUGGGGGAUAUUGCACAAUGGGGGAAACCCUGAUGCAGCGACGCCGCGUGGGCGAAGAAGUAUUUCGGUAUGUAAAGCCCUAUCAGCAGGGAAGAAGAAAUGACGGUACCUGCAUCAGAAGCACCAGCUAAAUACGUGCCAGCAGCCGCGCUAAUACGUAGGGUGCAAGCGUUCUCCGGAUUUACUGGGUGUAAAGGGAGCGCAGGCGGCACGGUAAGCCUGAUGUGAAAGCCCGGGGCCCAACCGGGGGACUGCAUUGGGAACUAGCGGGCUGGAGUGCGGGAGAGGGAGGCGGAAUUCCUGGUGUAGCAGUGAAAUGCGUAGAUAUCAGGAGGAACACCAGUGGCGAAGGCGGCUUACUGGACGGUGACUGACGCUGAGGCGCGAAAGCGUGGGGAGCAAACAGGAUUAGAUACCCGUGUAGUC